RNAcentral lists this ribosomal RNA (1242 nucleotides) under Phalacroma rapa. Its description in RNAcentral is "LSU rRNA". It matches the Rfam family "Eukaryotic large subunit ribosomal RNA", at positions 1 to 1191 of the family's 3401-position model. The record is from RNAcentral. Lineage: Eukaryota; Dinophyceae; Dinophysales; Dinophysaceae.
UGAAGUUAGGCUCGCAUACCUGCUGAAUUUAAGCAUAUAAGUAAGCGGCGGACAAUAAACUAAACAGGACCCCCAUAGUAAUGGCGAAUGAGCAGGGAUGAGCUCAGCGUGGAAAUUGGGGCCUGAGGCCCUGACUUGUAGGCUGGUGAGGUGUUGCCAACAGAGGCGCAGAUGUAAGUCUUUUUGGAAAAGAGCAUCAAUGAGGGUGAGAAUCCUGCUUGCCAUUUGCAGACCCCUGUGCACGGUGUGCCCACAUCGAGUCACGUUCCUUGGGAUUGGAGCGCAAAGUGGGUGGUAACUUUCAUCUGAAGCUAAAUAUUGGUUGAAGACCGAUAGGAAACAAGUACCAUGAGGGAAAGAUGAAAAGGACUUUGGAAAGAGAGUUAAAAGUGCCUGAAAUUGCUGAAAGGGAAGCGAAUGGAGCCAGUGUGCCCGGGCGAGAUUGUCAUAUGUGAUAAUGAUCGGUUGCUGCUUCAUCGUAAGUGUUCUUGCAAUCAUUGAUCUAUGAGUGUGUGGUGUGUCUUGCCUUGAAUGUCAUCGCGGGCUUCUGUAUUACGACAAUUCAAAGUUCAGGGUAUUAUGUUUGUGAAGGUAUGAAUGUUCUUUGCUAUGCUUGUGCGCAAGCUUCUCUUGACUGUGUGUUUGCUGUGUGGCGCCCCAACACAGCGGGGCCACACACCAUUUCUACACAGCUGAUGACUAAAUGAUUCUAUUCGACCCGUCUUGAAACACGGACCAAGGAGUCUAGCAUGUGUGCAAGUUCAUGGGUUGCAUGCCUGUGUGCACAAUGAAAGUGACUGCUGGGAUCUUUGCGCCAGCAACCGACCAAUCAACCGAGAGAGGUUUGAGUAUGAGCAGUUCUGUUAGCACCCGAAAGAUGGUGAACUAUGCCUGAGAAGGGCAAACUCAGGGGAAACUCUGAUGGAGGCUCGUAGCGGUACUGACGUGCAAAUCGUUCGUCGCACUUGGGUAUAGGGGCGAAAGACUAAUCGAACCAUCUAGUAGCUGGUUCCCUCUGAAGUUUCCCUCAGGAUAGCUGGAGUUGAACAGUUUUAUCAGGUAAAGCGAAUGAUUAGAGGAAUCGGGGGCGCGCCGUUCUCGACCUAUUCUCAAACUUUUAAUGGGUAAGAUCCAGUGGUUGCUUGGUUGAACUUCUGGGGCACAUGUUGAUUCCAAGUGGGCCAUUUUUGGUAAGCAGAACUGGCGAUGAGGGAUGAACCUAACGUUGUGCUAAUGUGCUUA